CGGGUAGCAUCGACGACUGAGGCAUGGCGGAAGCGAAAUGACAGCACUCCCGUGGUGACUCGCGGCGACGACGGCACUCCCGUGGUGACUCGCAGCGACGACGGCACCCCACCGAUUGCGACCUGAUUGACGACGGCAGAUGGCUGCGAGACGGAGAAGGAAGAAGUCGGGGAGAGAGAGAAAGCAGCGCCGCUGGGAGAAGAAAAGAGAG
Molecule: unclassified non-coding RNA, 211 nt
Filed under: Hevea brasiliensis (rubber tree)
Lineage: Eukaryota; Viridiplantae; Streptophyta; Magnoliopsida; Malpighiales; Euphorbiaceae
Source: RNAcentral